AUACGUAUGUCGCAAGCGUUAUCCGGAUUUACUGGGCGUAAAGCGCGUCUAGGCGGCUUAGUAAGUCUGAUGUGAAAAUGCGGGGCUCAACCCCGUAUUGCGUUGGAAACUGCUAAACUAGAGUACUGGAGAGGUAGGCGGAACUACAAGUGUAGAGGUGAAAUUCGUAGAUAUUUGUAGGAAUGCCGAUGGGGAAGCCAGCCUACUGGACAGAUACUGACGCUAAAGCGCGAAAGCGUGGGUAGCAAACAGGAUUAGAUACCCUGGUAGUCCACGCCGUAAACGAUGAUUACUAGGUGUUGGGGGUCGAACCUCAGCGCCCAAGCUAACGCGAUAAGUAAUCCGCCUGGGGAGUACGUACGCAAGUAUGAAACUCAAAUGAAUUGACGGGG
This 392-nucleotide ribosomal RNA is filed under the name uncultured bacterium. Its description in RNAcentral is "partial 16S ribosomal RNA". It matches the Rfam family "Bacterial small subunit ribosomal RNA", at positions 523 to 918 of the family's 1533-position model. The record is from RNAcentral.